This 3329-nucleotide unclassified non-coding RNA is filed under the name Polistes fuscatus (common paper wasp). Its description in RNAcentral is "potassium/sodium hyperpolarization-activated cyclic nucleotide-gated channel 3, transcript variant X4". Lineage: Eukaryota; Metazoa; Arthropoda; Insecta; Hymenoptera; Vespidae. The record is from RNAcentral.
AGAAGGUGGUGGUAGUGGUAGUAGAGAAGGUGGUGGUAGUAGUGGUUGUGCCGGUGAUGGUAGCAGUCAUUCGCUCGAACAAAGAGCUCGAGAGCCUCGUGGCGCGAGCCGAGCCGAGCUGAGCCGAGUGAAGCCGGUGAAAGAUCAGAAAGGCUUUUCCUAAAGGCGGCUAGUAUCGAUAUUGAUGAGCAGACGCAAUCCGUCCCGUAGGGAGCAACGGUGUGCGAACGACGAUCAGGGUUUCUCUCAAUCAUCCGGAUUUCAUUACACGGAUAAAGCCUGAAGAAAUUCAUGCGCAUCGACGUAGACCUGAACAAGUGGUCCGAGAGAACGAUCGUCGUCCUCGCGACGACGCCUAAAGAAAAAAAACUCGUACGAAAGAGAGGGAAGGGCUCGCACGACAGGAUCCGUAUCAAUUUGCGACUGUGAUUUUAUAAUCUUAAGGUUAAGCGUAGGAAAAUUGUUCAUUGUGAUACUAAGCUAUAUUAGAGGGUGGAGAUAAGGUGAAUAAGGAUAAGGAGGAGGAGAAAGAGAAGGGGAAGAAAGACACGUGGGUUCGAAGAGAAAUGGAGCGAGGUGGCGCGAUGCUUCUUGCGAAAGAAGAAUCACGCAAAUUCUCGCAGAAACUUGUGAAAGCUGAUUUGACGCGAGACGCAAAACAAAUUUUUACCGUUCGUGAUACGAUCAAGGACGAGAAUAUGGAAAUAGCGUUCCCUUGAACGAUUUAAUAGCACGAGGCUGAUCGUACUUCUUGGGCUAAUCGGUUUUUUUAUUUAAAUCCAUCGAUGAUCCCAACUUGCACAUUCGUAGGUACAUUUGCAAGCCGUUUACAUUGAAUAUUGGAUAAUCUUUUCGUUAGUUCGAUUUUUCGUGGCAAUAGUUAAACAUCGCUGGCGACUAGGGGAUUGUUGUCGUUGAGCCAAAGAGACACGGAAUUUCUAUCGUUGUGUUUAUAGCGUAAAGGAAUGCGAUAAAGAAGGCAAAAGUUAGACAAAGAGGCUGGAUAAUUCGUCGCGUAGGACGGAAGAGAAGCGAGUCUCGGAGCGCUCAAGAGGUCCUGGAGGGAAAGUAGAGACGAAAGAUAUAGGAAAGAAAGAGGAAGGUUUCGAAGGGGUAAACCGUGAUACUUGUACCACCCCCUGGACACGGGGGGUGGGACAGAAAUAUUGUCAGCGUGGGUGUCGGUGGUGCAGGGGCGCGCCUGGCCCGUCGGCUCGCCCGCAGAUUAGCACGGCGAUUGUCGGGUACGUCGGGCCCCUUCCGACGUACCAACGUCAGGAGCAACCAGACCGCAAUCACCAGCACCGGCACCGGCACUGGCACCGGCACCGGCACCGGCACCGGCGCCGGCACCGGUACCACUAUCAACAGCGCCGUUCUGGCGACCUCGGGGGGCUUCGCAUCGGCGGCGGCGGUGGCCGUGGCACCGACGGGAGACCAACUCGCAGCCUCUCCCGGCUCGGUUGCCUCGCGCCGCGUCACGCCGAACGGUAACGCUGGCAUUGACGUUGCCGCCGCACCUAGAACCGAUCCUGGAACCGAUUCCGCUACCGACGUUGGACCCGACGCCAGAUUCGACGCUGGACCCUACGCUGGGACUUACGCCGGAACCGACGCUGGAAGCGGGACCAUCUUUCAAGCUUCCUUCGGAGGAACGGCUCGCAACAAGACCAUGUCUGUCAGAAGCCUUCACAGGCGCGUUUCUCAUCCUUGCCAUGGAAUUGAAAGUCGUCAUGCUGCGAAACACGAAAAACGACCGUCACAGAAGCUGGAAACAUCAUGGCCAUUUUCAUUGGAGGGCGAAGGUGGUGGCGGUGGUGGGGGUGGAGUCGGUGGCCGUUCUGUGAGUAGCACUACCGGUGGUGGCGGAGGGGGUGGAGGAGGAGGAGGAGGUGGAGGAGGAGGAGGGGGAGGUGGUGGCGGCGGUGGAAGUGUCGGUGGUCGACGUGCACCGAGUCUACGAUUGGUAAAUGGAAGAGCUACCACCGGGAUCAGUUUACACACCAGCAGCACAGAAUCCGUACGUUCGCCUCAUCACCACCUCGGAUGCCAAAGCGCCAACAACAACAACAACAACAAUAACAAUAAUAACAACAACAACAACAAUAAUAAUAAUAACAACAACAACCACAAUAACAACAACAACUGCCACGCCGGUAACAACCCCGCCGCAAACAAUCAUCCAAGACUCAACAAAGAUGACAGCAUCAAGAUUAGCAUCGAGAAUACCAACACUUGUACAGACAGUCUCGUCACCGCUUUAGACGACGAGGCGCUGCUCAUCACUGACUUCUUGGCCGAUACAGGCAACGAGAUGAAUUACAAAGGCAGCGGAAAAGUCCACUUCGGAGUGGACGAUGUGUCCCUCUAUGGGACGCCGAAAGAGGAACCGGGCCCGGGCCUCCCGGGCCAGGAGGUUAAACAGAGCUUCCUUAAGAAUCAACUUCAAGCCCUCUUUCAGCCGACGGACAACAAGCUUGCGAUGAAACUCUUCGGCAGCAAGAAGGCACUUAUGAAGGAAAGGAUCAGGCAAAAGGCGGCGGGUCACUGGGUCAUCCAUCCUUGCUCCAGUUUCCGAUUUUACUGGGACCUCUGCAUGCUCCUCCUUUUGGUUGCUAAUUUGAUAAUUCUGCCAGUUGCCAUUAGUUUUUUCAAUGACGACCUAAGCACUAGGUGGAUAGCCUUCAACUGCCUUUCCGACACGAUAUUCCUCAUAGAUAUCGUCGUAAACUUUAGAACUGGUAUAAUGCAGCAAGAUAACGCCGAACAAGUGAUAUUGGAUCCCAAGUUAAUCGCUAAACACUACCUCAGGACUUGGUUCUUUCUCGACCUCAUCUCAUCCAUACCACUAGACUAUAUUUUCCUCAUUUUUAAUCAAUUUCAGGACUUCAGUGAGUCCUUCCAGAUCCUGCAUGCUGGACGUGCUCUCAGGAUUCUCAGGCUUGCAAAACUGUUAUCCCUCGUUAGGUUACUACGCUUGUCAAGACUGGUGCGGUAUGUCUCGCAAUGGGAAGAGGUCUAUGCGCAUUGCGAGAACACGUUUCCGAAUGGGUUUGCAGAUCCCCCUUUAUCAACAGCCGGAGAGGCACUACGAGCGUCGGGCGUCACCGCCCCAACCAGACCGAACCAGCAAGAUAUUGCAGAACCUACAAAAAAAACGCACUGAGCGGAGGGGGCGCCUAAGUUCUGACAAUAUGAGUAAAAAGAAGUCCGGUUUCAGCAAAAGCGACCUUAUUUUUAAGUUCCUGAAUAUGGCGUCGGUGUUUAUGCGGAUUUUUAACCUGAUCUGCAUGAUGCUACUGAUAGGCCACUGGAGUGGUUGUUUGCAA